GCCAGGCCAGCCAACUGGCUCCGGCGAGCACCCAACGCCAUGGAUGGUCUCCUGCCUGCAUGUGCGUGAGAAAGAGAGGUAACUACUCGUGUCCACUACUCCACUCGUGUGUGAGAUGUGCGGAGAAAGAAAGGAGAGAAGAAACUGUCGUCUCUGCGUGAAGGAGAAAAGAAAAUGCUCCUAGGCCCCACCCACAUGCCCUCCGCAUGCGACCAGGCAACAUGCAUGCCAUCCAAUCCAUCACAAAUCGUGCAUCAUGUGGCCCCCACUUGCAUGCCAUUCAAUCUCAUGUUCCCCUUAAUGCCAUAGAUCCUAAAGAUUGUCUACGGUUGUGACUCAUGUGGUCCAUUGUACGGUUAGCCUUUGACCAAUAGAAUAGCGCCACAUAGUAUAAAUCCGAGAAACGCUAGUUAUUUAAUAUACAUGUUGCGUGGCGUGUCCGUCUCGACUCAUUUCGGUCGUAGCGACUUCGUAAUAACCUCGACUACGUUUAGUAAUAUUAUUUAGUCGCAACACAUGUUUUCGUUAAUUAGGUAAUUAAUCCAAGAUUUAUAUGAAUGACAUUCUAAUUAAAAUUAAGGUAUAUUUUUAAAAUGGUGAUUUUAUAGAUGCGAAUUAAUGUGGUUAGUUCCGACUCAGAUGUUUUCAAAUAAUAUUUGUUUAAUGUAAACAUGAUGUCUGUUUAGCUUUUCUCGCGAAUCGCGCGCGUCAUUCACGUGUGUUAUGUGUGCUGUUUCGUACGCGUUGCCCGCAUGUAUCACGUGUGAGGAUCGCAUGCGUAGCCGCGCGUGGUCCGCGCGCUAAGUCGCGUGUGUCUGCGUGUCGUCGCGCAUUGUUCGCGCACUAUCGCAUUGCUCGCACGUUAUCGCGCGCGUGUUCGCGUGUCAUUCGCGCGCUGUUUGCGCGUCGUCGCGCAUUGUUCGCGCACUAUCGCAUUGCUCGCACAUUAUCGCGCGUGUGUUCGCGUGUCAUUUGCGCGUUGUUUGCGCGUCGUCGUCACUUCCUUCGCGCGUUCGUGCCGCGCGUCCGGUUCGUGUGUCGCGCGGCGUCUGCGUGUGAUAAUAAAUUGUUGUUGCUUAUAAAUGCUCAUGUUAAUAACGUUAAUUCGUGAGGUCACAUAUUUUAGAUAAUUAACUUAGCUAGUUUUGCUCGACUAAUAUUUAUUAGAUUAAUAUCCCAAUUAGAUUAAAUGUGUAGUGUUCAACUUGCGCGUUUAUAGUAAACAUUGACAUGACAAAUAUUAAGUUAACUACUUUUUAUUUAUUUAAUAUUUGUUUAGUACAAACACAUCACCUAUUUAGUUUUCUUACCUGUCGCGCGUGUUGUUCCGCACAUGGUGGUGUUCUCGUUCGCGCUGGUCGCGCGCGCUGUUUCGUGUGUCGUCAGCGUGCUAUGUCAAUGUCUGCGCGUCGUUUGCACCCUGUCGUGUUGGGUUCAUCGUCGUCAUGUUGUCUGCGCGUGCCGUUCGUGGUCCGUGCGUUGAGUCGCUGAUGUUAUUUAAAUUACUUAUUUAACUAAGAAUUGUUAGGGUGGUCAGCUAAUUAAAACUGUGUGAUAGCUCUAGUUUCUUUUUAAAUAAAUCGAUUAAUAUAACCAGGUCAAACUAAAUGUUAUGAUUAAUACUCGUUUAGUGUAGACGCGAUAACUUCUCGACCGUAGCUCCGCAUGUCGCGUUUCUUUUUCCUCGCGUGACCGUAGUAAUGUGCUCUAUUUCGUUUUGCAUAUUUUAUUAUGUUUUUAUUUGAAUAGUGUAAUGUUCUUAUGCAUAUAUAUGUUUGUUUGUUUGUUUGUUUGUGCCUGUUUGUAUUCACUGUGCGUUGUGAAUAGAUUGCGAUCCGUUUUCGAGCUUGGAGGGAUCAAAGAUCAAGCGUUGGCGACCAAGUGAUCCAGUUCUUCGAGUUCCACGAGAUUGAAGACCCUGAGCAUCUGUUUGGUGAAGGCAAGUGUCCUCUGACCCAUUAUGUCCUAUCUACUUAUAAUUCAUUGUCCUGUAUUACUUAAUUGAAACCUAAGGAGUGACUAGUUUCUAUUUACCUUGUCCUUGAUUACCUUUUGGGUUAUUAUGGUUAGCUUCAUGCUAUUGCUCUACUUUAAUCAAUGAACAUGAUGUGAAUAUUUAUGAUACGAUACUGUUAUUAUGAUUAUGAUGAUGUUCUUGUGACACUUUAGGGGACUCAGGCCAUUUUUCCUGAGUACCUCUCCGUAAGGACCUAUUCGGGGAGUGACAACCCGAGAUAACAGUGCAACCAUGAAGGUGGAAUGAGACGCCCUUAGCUGAUUAAUUAUAUGAAACUGGGGGUAUAGUUGGCUUUGAC
Molecule: long non-coding RNA, 2315 nt
Filed under: Zea mays
Lineage: Eukaryota; Viridiplantae; Streptophyta; Magnoliopsida; Poales; Poaceae
Description: long non-coding RNA (ZMAY_LNC004238)
Source: RNAcentral